This 492-nucleotide ribosomal RNA is filed under the name uncultured bacterium. Its description in RNAcentral is "partial 16S ribosomal RNA". It matches the Rfam family "Bacterial small subunit ribosomal RNA", at positions 36 to 507 of the family's 1533-position model. The record is from RNAcentral.
CGUUCCCUCUGGCGGUAGGCCUAACACAUGCAAGUCGAACGGCAGCACAGUAAGAGCUUGCUCUUACGGGUGGCGAGUGGCGGACGGGUGAGGAAUACAUCGGAAUCUACUUUUUCGUGGGGGAUAACGUAGGGAAACUUACGCUAAUACCGCAUACGACCUACGGGGGAAAGCAGUGGAUCUUCGGACCUUGCGCGAAUGAAUGAGCCGAUGUCGGAUUAGCUAGUUGGCGGGGUAAAGGCCCACCAAGGCGACGAUCCGUAGCUGGUCUGAGAGGAUGAUCAGCCACAUUGGAACUGAGACACGGUCAAGACUCCUACGGGAGGCAGCAGUGGGGAAUAUUGGACAAUAGGCGCAAGCCUGAUCCAGCCAUACCGCGUGGGUGAAGAAGGCCUUGGGGUUGUAAAGCCCUUUUGUUGGGAAAGAAAAGCAGCAGGUUAAUACCCCGCUGUUCUGACGGUACCCAAAGAAUAAGCACCGGCUAACUUCGUG